This 464-nucleotide ribosomal RNA is filed under the name uncultured bacterium. RNAcentral's name for it is "partial 16S ribosomal RNA". It matches the Rfam family "Bacterial small subunit ribosomal RNA", at positions 29 to 507 of the family's 1533-position model. The record is from RNAcentral.
ACGAACGCUGGCGGCGUGCUUCACCCAUGCAAGUCGAACGGAAAGGCCCUGCUUGCAGGGUACUCGAGUGGCGAACGGGUGAGUAACACGUGGGUGAUCUGCCCUGCACUUCGGGAUAAGCCUGGGAAACUGGGUCUAAUACCGGAUAGGAGCCAUUUUUAGUGUGAUGGUUGGAAAGUUUUUUCGGUGUAGGAUGAGCUCGCGGCCUAUCAGCUUGUUGGUGGGGUAAUGGCCUACCAAGGCGGCGACGGGUAGCCGGCCUGAGAGGGUGGACGGCCACAUUGGGACUGAGAUACGGCCCAGACUCCUACGGGAGGCAGCAGUGGGGAAUAUUGCACAAUGGGCGCAAGCCUGAUGCAGCGACGCCGCGUGGGGGAUGACGGCCUUCGGGUUGUAAACUCCUUUCGCUAGGGACGAAGCUUUUUGUGACGGUACCUAGAGAAGAAGCACCGGCUAACUACGUG